Molecule: ribosomal RNA, 492 nt
Filed under: uncultured bacterium
Lineage: Bacteria
Description: partial 16S ribosomal RNA
Rfam family: Bacterial small subunit ribosomal RNA
Source: RNAcentral
AGUGAACGCUGGCGGUAGGCCUAACACAUGCAAGUCGAACGGCAGCACAGUAGGAGCUUGCUCUUACGGGUGGCGAGUGGCGGACGGGUGAGGUAUACAUCGGAAUCUACUUUUUCGUGGGGGAUAACGUAGGGAAACUUACGCUAAUACCGCAUACGCCCUACGGGUGAAAGCAGGGGAUCUUCGUACCUUGCGCGAUUGAAUGAGGCGAUGUCGGAUUAGCUAGUUGGCGGGGUAAAGGCCCACCAAGGCGACGAUCCGUAGCUGGUCUGAGAGGAUGAUCAGCCACACUGGAACUGAGACACGGUCCAGACUCCUACGGGAGGCAGCAGUGGGGAAUAUUGGACAAUGGGCGCAAGCCUGAUCCAGCCAUACCGCGUGGGUGAAGAAGGCCUUCGGGUUGUAAAGCCCUUUUGUUGGGAAAGAAAAGCAGCAGGUUAAUACCCCGCUGUUCUGACGGUACCCAAAGAAUAAGCACCGGCUAACUUCGUG